Molecule: ribosomal RNA, 252 nt
Filed under: uncultured Actinomycetales bacterium
Lineage: Bacteria; Bacillati; Actinomycetota; Actinomycetes; Actinomycetales
Description: partial 16S ribosomal RNA
Rfam family: Bacterial small subunit ribosomal RNA
Source: RNAcentral
UGUGGGGUGCUCGAGUGGCGAACGGGUGAGUAACACGUGAGUAACCUUCCCUUGACUUUGGGAUAACUUCAGGAAACUGGGGCUAAUACCGGAUAGGAGCUCCUGCUGCAUGGUGGGGGUUGGAAAGUUUCGGCGGUUGGGGAUGGACUCGCGGCUUAUCAGCUUGUUGGUGGGGUAGUGGCUUACCAAGGCUUUGACGGGUAGCCGGCCUGAGAGGGUGACCGGCCACAUUGGGACUGAGAUACGGCCCAG